This 107-nucleotide small nuclear RNA is filed under the name Microcebus murinus (gray mouse lemur). The record is from RNAcentral. Lineage: Eukaryota; Metazoa; Chordata; Mammalia; Primates; Cheirogaleidae.
GUGCUCGCUUCAUCAGCACGUACACUAAAAUUGGAAAGAUACAGAGAAGAUUAGCAUGGUCCCUGUGCGAGGAUGACAUGCAAAUUCGUGAAGCGUUCCAUAUUUUU